This 103-nucleotide non-coding RNA is filed under the name Brochothrix campestris. RNAcentral's name for it is "TPP sequence". It matches the Rfam family "TPP riboswitch aptamer (THI element)". From Rfam's summary of the family: Vitamin B(1) in its active form thiamin pyrophosphate (TPP) is an essential coenzyme that is synthesised by coupling of pyrimidine and thiazole moieties in bacteria. The previously detected thiamin-regulatory element, thi box was extended, resulting in a new, highly conserved RNA secondary structure, the THI element, which is widely distributed in eubacteria and also occurs in some archaea. The record is from RNAcentral. RNAcentral also lists the same sequence under 1 other name. Lineage: Bacteria; Bacillati; Bacillota; Bacilli; Caryophanales; Listeriaceae.
UCCAUCCACUAGGGGUGCUAUUUUUAGCUGAGAUAGACAUUCGUCUAAUCCCUUUGAACCUGAUUUGGUUAAUACCAGCGUAGGAAAGUGGAAACGUCGAUUA